Molecule: ribosomal RNA, 468 nt
Filed under: uncultured bacterium
Lineage: Bacteria
Description: partial 16S ribosomal RNA
Rfam family: Bacterial small subunit ribosomal RNA
Source: RNAcentral
GAUGAACGCUGGCGGCGUGCUUAACACAUGCAAGUCGAACGGAAAGGCCCGAGCUUGCUUGGGUACUCGAGUGGCGAACGGGUGAGUAACACGUGGGUGAACUGCACCGAACUUACGGAUAAGCCUUGGAAACUGGGGAGAAAACCGGAUAGGAUCACGUGAUGGGUGUGGUGGUGGAAAGAUUUUUCGCUGUGGGAUGAGGUAGCGACCUAUCCGCGUGGUGGUGGGGACAUGGCCUAGCAAGGCGUCGACGGGUAGCCGGCCUGCGAGAGUGUAGGGCCACAUUGGAACUGUGCUACAGCCCAGACUCCUACGGGAGGCAGCAGUGGGGAAUAUUGCACGAUGCGCGCAAGCCUGAUGCAGCGACGCCGCGUGGGCGAUGACGGCCUUCAGGUUGUAAAAUCCUUUCGCUAGGGACGAAGCGUUUUUGUGACGGUACCUAGAGAAGAAGCCCCGGCUAACUACGUG